CAGACAGCACAAGUACGUCUGCCCGACGUCGGCUCAAGAGCGUACGUCGGCCUCCUUAUCUGAAACAUCUAAUAAGUAUCGGCCAGGCAUCGGCCAAAUCUUCAGUCAAGUCAACGGUAUUUCCCGCUCAUCAAGCUUGUCUGUUACGUCGGCUUUGGGUCGGAUAACUAUACCGGAGGCCGAUGCCGCGCUUCUCUCUGUUGGUGCGUGCCCAGUUACUCCUCCCUUUGCAACCCACCAGAGCAAAGGCGACAUCAUGGGUGUAUCAAGUAUGUACAAGAACUAAGUAAAUGAUAAUAAGUGGAGAAAAAUGGAAUCCGUUAAGUAAAUGUAAAUGUUUUAAUAUAAUAUACAAGUAAAAAUAAAUAAAAUAGCAGCGCUUUCUUUGCUUUUAAUGACACACAGCUGCUAAGUUCCAUUAUUCCGAAGCAGGAGGGGGCAGUAAUGUACAUACGCUGGUUGCCAGCCGCCGUUAAUACUCAAACAAUUCCACGUCAACUCGAACACGCAAAACCCCGGUAUGAUGCAUUGUCAUGAGCAUGCCAAACCAACAGAUGGCGAUAUAUUCCUUAACCCAGAGAAGCCACUACAGUCUCGUCUUGCCAUGAACAAGGAAAAAAUGCGGGAGCUGACUUCGCAGACGUACGUGGCUCAGGCAGAUGGCCAUUGCUUUUCUGAACAGCAGUUGGAAGUAUUCUGAGGUCAUUGGCACUGCUGUAUCACAACAUCAUUUGCUGUGCCUGGGAUAAUGAAGACAAUUUGGGUUGUCAUGUUACACGCCAGGUGAACAACAUCAGAGUGCGGCAGUCAGAGAUCCUAAAGAAGGACUCCAUAUGUUUACUCGAGACAGUACGCCGUACAUCUCUUACGACAAGGAUAUUUGUUUCAGGACCGCUUUCCCGAUACUGACAAGGACAUUUAAGCAAUUAUGUGAGCUGCAGUCUGGAUCCUGCCUCUGUCAGAUGACCUAACACAAAUGGAAAGAUGACAUCGACCCUUGCAAGGACUUCAGACGAUGCCAGCACUGGACUACAUACAGUGGUAAUCAUGGGUGCCCAAACUUGUGCAUGUCACUGUACUGAUAUAUACUAUACAAAUAAUAUUUUCAGUAGUCUGUGUCAAAUUUUAUUUCAAGGUAAGAUAGCUUUACAUGUUUUUUAUUGUGCUUUAGUGAUCACACAGGCCCUGUUUAUGUUCUUAACCGGCAUGAGUUUAUUUAUUGUGAUAUACACAAAACAAGAUAUUUUGAUAAAUCAUGUUAAGUACACAGCUGCUCAUUUACUUCAAUAAAAUGUCUUUUUCCUAUUAUGGAAGUCAAUGGGUACCAUCAACUGUAUGAUUGACAUCAUUUAUCAGAUUAAAGAAUUUUUGGCAAGUUUAUAACAACAUGAAGGUGAGUAAAUGAUACAAUUAUCAUUUUUACGUAAACUUUUAGCUUUGAAGGAUUAUUUACUCAACCCCAUGUCAUCCAAGAUGUUUGUCUUUCUUUCUUUAGCCAAACACAAUUAAAGUUAUAUUUAAUACUGUCCUGGCCAGUGGCAGCUCAUGACUGCUCUUCUGAGGGGUGCGAAUUCAAAAUAAGUGUUCAGAGUGUCAUGUGUGUUGCUCGUGUUUUCAAAAAUAUGUGUUUGUUGCGUCAUGUAAACCAUGUGCAUCACGUGUCUUGUCAAAAGAAGUGCCUGCUGCACACGCGUCAAAACCUUUUAUGAUAAAAGAGAUGCUCACGUUCACAAAAUACACACAACACAUUCACUUAACAUUAAACUCUGAUUACACAUGAGAUAAUGCAGGUAUCUUUUAUCAUAAACCCUUCAGACGUGUGUGCAGCAGGCACUUAUUUUGACAUGACACGUGAUUCACAUGCGACACGCCUAACACAUAUCUUAAAAUGACGAACCACACACAUAACGGGCUACAUACAUGUUGGGAUGAGCUUCGCAUUGCAUUGUGCGCCCUCGGAAAAUAAGUCCUUGUCCGCCACUGGUCCUGGUUCUUCAAUGCUUAAUAAUGGCAUUGACUGGGCAUCAAUGUUUUGAAGUUCCAAAAGUGCAUCCAUUCAUCAUUAAAGUGAUCCAUAUAUAACCCAGUGGUUCUUCUGAUGCAAAAUGAUAGGCUUAUGAGAAAAACUUUAUAUUUUAAGCUUUAAGCGAGUUACGAUGCAUACGUUAUGUAAACAGACUACAACAACUCAAUCGCAUUGUUUCUCACGUGUCUCUACUGCGUUUCAUCACAAUUCAUAUUACGACUAGUCAUGAGAUGCAUAACAUCCAAUGCGAUAACACGUGCUGCCAUAUUUAAAUUGUCUUUUUAACUUUGUAAAUGUCUUGUCUCUAUCACAAAAAGCAAUAAAUAUGAAUAGUUUUUCUCACAAACGUAUUGUUUCGCUUCAGAAGACAUUUAUUAAUCCACUGGUUACAUAUGGAUUACUUUAAUGAUGGAUGGAUAUACUUUUAAGCUUUGAAAAACAUUGAUCCCAGUCAAUGACAUUAUAAAGCAAAAAUAUAAAUACAAUAUAUAAAUGUAAAGAACCAGGAAAUUAUUUAAUAUAACUCUGAUUGUGUUCUGUUAAAAAAGUAAUAGAUAACUUCUUGGAUGACAUGAAUUUGAAUAAUCAGUCAAUUUUCAUUUUGGUGGGAGGAGUAAUCCUUUAACUCAUUCGAGUCAUCAGACAGUCAUCUUGUUGCUUUGACUGAAUUCAGUUACAGAUCAAAAUCCCUGGUGGUAAAUCAACACUGCUCAGUCUUAUCUAUUUGAGUACACUGACGAUCCUGAAGGUGUGUUUAACAUUAAUAAAAUAAUAAAGUAAUGCAUAAAGUAAUAAUUGAACAUUACUGAUGAUGUGUGCUGUUAACAAGCAGAAUGGUAAAGAUAAACUAAAACAAAGACGUCAAAGCAACAAGAUGACUUUGUUCAGACAACUCAACCCUUUUAAAAUGUGUUUUAUUUAACAGUGCAUUUUAUCCUUUAUCUUAGACAAAGCAGGCCAUGUUAACUUCAUUUAAUACAUUCUGGAACAAAUCUGGGUCCACUUAUCAUUUCUACUUACAAAUUAACAUUUCUGUU
Paramisgurnus dabryanus is the source of this 3063-nucleotide long non-coding RNA. RefSeq lists it as uncharacterized. NCBI's taxonomy places the organism in Eukaryota, Metazoa, Chordata, Actinopteri, Cypriniformes, Cobitidae. The record is from RefSeq and is a predicted model, not a curated record.